This is a long non-coding RNA of Oreochromis niloticus (Nile tilapia), 2529 nucleotides long. RefSeq lists it as uncharacterized. The record is from RefSeq and is a predicted model, not a curated record. Lineage: Eukaryota; Metazoa; Chordata; Actinopteri; Cichliformes; Cichlidae. The transcript is spliced from 3 exons.
UGCACCUCCGAUGUUGUGCAGCUGUUUCUGCCUCGAGUUAUAAUAAUGUACUUGAUUGCUGGUUCUGCCUUCCUGUUCUACGUCACCAAAAUCCCUGAGCGAUAUUUUCCUGGCCAGCUGAACUACCUGGGCGCCAGCCACCAGGUGUGGCACGUACUUGUGGUGGCUAUGUUUUACUGGUGGCAUCAGACCGCUGUGUACAUCAUGCACUUUAGACACAGCCAGUCUUGCCCAGCGCACACCACCAGGAGCUAAGUGAAAUUCAUCAUGUAACAACACAAUAAUAAGAAGAACCAUAUUUUUGUGACCUCUACCUUGUCAACCUAACGACAAGGUACUUCUGAGUACCCGCUGUAGAAAUAAGGGGGCUUCUUUAUCGUACGCCCUCCGUCACACUGUUCAACUCACCUGUGUGUACCACUCGCAGACUAUCUUCCCAAUCUGAAAUCCACAUUAGGGAUUAGAGCAGCUGCACAGCCUCGGUAAGAAAUAUGUCUGACACCCUUCACUGUAAUUUAACUGUCCAAAAUAAAAUAAAAUAAAAUACAUAAACACAUCAUGUCAGACACUGCAUGCAUUAAAGGAGAAUGUGCGGAUGUGAUUACAGACGGCUGAACGAUUGACACAAACGUGUAGCAUGUCAGUAAAAUGUUUGGCCACCAGGUGUCCCCAGAACAUCUUAAAUUCAGCUUGAAAUUUGUUCUAAACCUUCUGGAGGGAUUGAACACUUUUGUUUUUUUAAUAAUGACGCAUAUAUAAAUAUGCUGAGAAGGUACCCGAAUCCCACGGCUUAGCAGAGCCACUGGAGGUGGAGGUUGGUGCUGGGAUUGUGUUUGCUCCUUAAGGACUGUGAGCUGAUGUUAGAUGUGGUCAGCCACACUAACUCAGCCCCUAAAGCACAGAAAACAGUGAGCUCCAUUAGAUCAAUGCAUGAAACUGUAUCUUUUGUAUUCGUAGAAAAUAUUUGGGUGAUAAAAGCAUUUUCUCAUGGUUGUUUAUGAUUGUAGUUUUUGUACAGAAGUGUUGGUAAAAAAAUAUCAAUAGGUAUUUUGAAUCCUUUGAAUCUUACUUCUUAGCCUGUGUGAACAAUUAUUUAUUUGUUUGGUUUUUUUCCUUGUUUUGUUGUCGGUUCUGUAUAAAAUGUCUUGAUUAAAAAGUGGGAAUGACAGAAAAAGCUGAGGGAGCUGAACGUUACCGUUUGGGUACUGUGAGUUACCUCUCUUUGGUAGAAACAGUCACUCAGUAUUUGCAGUAUUUUUUUUUUUUUUUUUUCAUUUUUGAAAAUACUUUGAAUGCUCUUCAAAGUUGCUAAAGCCAGUAUGUAAAAUCAAAGCUGUUGUUAUCAGCUCAGAGAAACAGACUAAUCUUAAUGCUGAACCAAUUUUUAUCAUUGAGAUGAUGGGUAUAUAUUUUUUAGUCUUCAGUCUCUUAAAAUAAUGUUACAUAAUUUGGGAGUCUGAUUUCAGUCGUCCUGCUGUAGCUUACUUACAGUUCACCUCACUCAACACAGCUCAUUAGAGAGGUACUAAGUGACCUCUGGUUGUUUAUCUGUUGCAAUGGUUUAAUCAAAUUAUAGGAUAGUGCAUUUAUCUACUGGCACGCUUCCAGUUUUGAUAUUGUGCUCUCUUGUAAAACAGAUCAGCCACAACAUUAAAACUCCCCCACUAACACCGUCAUCGUGGUGGAGGCGUGGCUUGGACUGCAGCAGUGUUCAUGUGGGCAAAACAGUGCAUUGUAACAAGGUUCCUAAUGCUAUUUGUUUCACCUCUCAGUAGUUUUAAUGUGGUGGCUGAUAUGUGUCUGACGAAAGAAAGCGAGAUCUCUUUCUUCAUAUUUAAUUUUGAGGAAAUGACGGUUUAGCAGCGGUACGUGUGACUAUGAAUUCACAGUUUGCUGUGAGCAGUAGCACUUAACAUAGCACUCAGUGAUGAGCCCGGGAGGUCAGUCAACUGUAGCAGAUAUCUGUUAUCAGCCAUCAAUCCUUUUAUCAUGAAGCCUCUCGGAACAAUGUGAGAAAAAAAUACUGAUAAUUCCCACCUCGUUGCUUUAACAAGGCCAGUUUGAUGUGUGUCAGCUUCCUUUUCUUUUUUAAAUUAAUGUACUUUUGGGCAGUUAUAUAUUUUUGGUGGUUUGUAUUGUUUUUGUAUUAUUCAAUCAGGUUUGCCUUAUUAUCUGUUUGUACUGUAAUGGCAUUUCUACAAUCUGUGGGUCCACAAUUGAGCCUAAACUAGAACAACAUGAUCAAACUGUUACACUCCAAGGCCAGUGUGUUUUUCUUUCUUUUCAGAGCACUUACUGCUGCAGUCAUGAUGGCAGCACUCAAAAGCACUCUUUUCUUUUUUUUAAGUGUCUUUAUUUUGGCAUUAAAUGCUUGAUCUGCUAGGACUGCUGUUUGGUUGUUUUUCCUUUGUAAGUGUGUUUUGUAUGUUACUGCGGUGGCACUGACUACUGCGAUGUGAAAUAUUUAUUUCAGUGCCUAUGUGAAAAUAUAUUUUUCAACUAUUUGAAUGAAUAAAGAAUGCAGGGAAA